This 384-nucleotide ribosomal RNA is filed under the name Mantoniella sp. Its description in RNAcentral is "partial small subunit ribosomal RNA". It matches the Rfam family "Eukaryotic small subunit ribosomal RNA", at positions 582 to 975 of the family's 1831-position model. The record is from RNAcentral. Lineage: Eukaryota; Viridiplantae; Chlorophyta; Mamiellophyceae; Mamiellales; Mamiellaceae.
AUUCCAGCUCCAAUAGCGUAUAUUUAAGUUGUUGCAGUUAAAAAGCUCGUAGUUGGAUUUCGGUUGAGAGCGGCCGGUCCGCCGUUUGGUGUGCACUGGCUGGUCUCAACUUCCUGCGGAGGACGCGCUCUGGGCUUAACGGUCCGGACGUGGAGUCCGCGUGGUUACUUUGAAAAAAUUAGAGUGUUCAAAGCGGGCUUACGCUUGAAUAUUUCAGCAUGGAAUAACACUAUAGGACUCCUGUCCUAUUUCGUUGGUCUCGGGACGGGAGUAAUGAUUAAGAGGAACAGUUGGGGGCAUUCGUAUUUCAUUGUCAGAGGUGAAAUUCUUGGAUUUAUGAAAGACGAACUUCUGCGAAAGCAUUUGCCAAGGAUGUUUUCAUUA